GAUGAAGAACGUAGCAAAAUGCGAUACUUGGUGUGAAUUGCAGAAUCCCGUGAAUCAUCGAGUUUUUGAACGCAAGUUGCGCCCGAAGCCAUCCGGCCGAGGGCACGCCUGCCUGGGCGUCACGCAUCUCGUCGCCACCCCCUCCUCCCCGUCCUCCGGGACGCUGGCUGGCAGCGGGGUGGCGGAUGCUGGCCUCCCGUUCCCUCGCGGCGCGGCUGGCCCAAAUGUGAGUCCCCCGGACAAGGGACGUCACGGCUUGAGGUGGUUGGACGAGUUUGUUUCAUUCAUUGAGGAGCCGUGACGGCCCCCGGGGCCCCCUCUUUUUAGACCCCAUAGAGGCGUGCAGUGGCCUCCGACCGCGCCCCCAGGUCAGGCGGGAUCACCCGCUGAGUUUAAGCAUAUCCAAUAAGCGGAGGA
This 417-nucleotide unclassified non-coding RNA is filed under the name soil metagenome. Its description in RNAcentral is "partial contains 5.8S ribosomal RNA, internal transcribed spacer 2, and large subunit ribosomal RNA". The stretch from base 1 to 122 matches the Rfam family "5.8S ribosomal RNA", at positions 35 to 154 of the family's 154-position model. The record is from RNAcentral.